ACCCUAUAGAGUUUGACAUCUAAGUUUCUUUCGAUUAUUUGUUUGUUUUAAUUUUAUUAAGUGAUUUAGGUGUUUUGUUGGGGUGAUGGGAGGAAUUUAUUUAACUCCUCUUUAUUUGGCAUAUUUAUUUAUAAUUUCUUGAUCCAUUUAUGUUGAUUAUAAGAUUAAAUUACCUUAGGGAUAACAGCGUUAUCUUCCUUGAGAGUUCUUAUUGGCGGGGAGGUUUGCGACCUCGAUGUUGGAUUAAGGUGAAUUUUCGGUGUAGGAGCUGAAAGUGAUUGGGUCUGUUCGACCUUUAAAAUCUUACAUGAUCUGAGUUCAGACCGGCGUGAGCCAGGUUGGUUUCUAUCUAUAAUGUUGUUUUAUACCUUAGUACGAGAGGACCGGGUAU
Molecule: ribosomal RNA, 391 nt
Filed under: Anoplotermes group nr. AB TB-2017
Lineage: Eukaryota; Metazoa; Arthropoda; Insecta; Blattodea; Termitidae
Description: partial 16S ribosomal RNA
Rfam family: Bacterial large subunit ribosomal RNA
Source: RNAcentral